RNAcentral lists this unclassified non-coding RNA (378 nucleotides) under plant metagenome. Its description in RNAcentral is "partial contains 5.8S ribosomal RNA, internal transcribed spacer 2, and large subunit ribosomal RNA". The stretch from base 1 to 105 matches the Rfam family "5.8S ribosomal RNA", at positions 50 to 154 of the family's 154-position model. The record is from RNAcentral.
GAAAUGCGAUAAGUAAUGUGAAUUGCAGAAUUCAGUGAAUCAUCGAAUCUUUAAACGCACCUUGCGCUCCUUGGUAUUCCUUGGAGCAUGCCUGUUUGAGUAUCAUGAAAUCUUCAAAGUAAAUCUUUUGUUAACUCAAUUGGUUUCUACUUUGGUAUUGGAGGUCUUUGCAGCUUCACACCUGCUCCUCUUUGUUCAUUAGCUGGAUCUCAGUGUUAUGCUUGGUUCCACUCGGCGUGAUAAGUUAUCUAUCGCUGAGGACACUGUAAAAGGUGGCCAAGGUAAAUGCAGAUGAACCGCUUCUAAUAGUCCAUUGACUUGGACAAUACUUUUAUGAUCUGAUCUCAAAUCAGGUAGGACUACCCGCUGAACUUAAGC